UACAGAGGGUGCAAGCGUUAAUCGGAAUUACUGGGCGUAAAGCGCGCGUAGGUGGUUUGUUAAGUUGGAUGUGAAAGCCCCGGGCUCAACCUGGGAACUGCAUCCAAAACUGGGCGACUAGAGUACAGUAGAGGGUGGUGGAAUUUCCUGUGUAGCGGUGAAAUGCGUAGAUAUAGGAAGGAACACCAGUGGCGAAGGCGACCACCUGGACUGAUACUGACACUGAGGUGCGAAAGCGUGGGGAGCAAACAGGAUUAGAAACCCCGGUAGU
This 271-nucleotide ribosomal RNA is filed under the name uncultured bacterium. RNAcentral's name for it is "partial 16S ribosomal RNA". It matches the Rfam family "Bacterial small subunit ribosomal RNA", at positions 524 to 794 of the family's 1533-position model. The record is from RNAcentral.